CGUAGGGUGCAAGCGUUAAUCGGAAUUACUGGGCGUAAAGGGUGCGCAGGCGGCGUCGCAAGUCAGGCGUGAAAUCCCCGGGCUUAACCUGGGAAUGGCGCUUGAAACUACGAUGCUGGAGUAUGGCAGAGGGAGGUGGAAUUCCACGUGUAGCGGUGAAAUGCGUAGAGAUGUGGAGGAACACCGAUGGCGAAGGCAGCCUCCUGGGCCAAUACUGACGCUCAUGCACGAAAGCGUGGGGAGCAAACAGGAUUAGAUACCCUGGUAGUCCACGCCCUAAACGAUGAUGACUAGUUGUUGGAGGAGUUAAAUCCUUUAGUAACGCAGCUAACGCGCGAAGUCAUCCGCCUGGGGAGUACGGUCGCAAGAUUA
RNAcentral lists this ribosomal RNA (372 nucleotides) under uncultured organism. RNAcentral describes it as "bacterial SSU rRNA". It matches the Rfam family "Bacterial small subunit ribosomal RNA", at positions 526 to 896 of the family's 1533-position model. The record is from RNAcentral.